Molecule: non-coding RNA, 82 nt
Organism: Desulfoplanes formicivorans
Lineage: Bacteria; Pseudomonadati; Thermodesulfobacteriota; Desulfovibrionia; Desulfovibrionales; Desulfoplanaceae
Source: Rfam
AGGAGCCGUGUACGAGGCCUGUACGCACGGUUCUGUGAGAGGGGUGAAGCAGAGUUGAUCACUCUGCUUCACCCUACUCGAU